RNAcentral lists this ribosomal RNA (1405 nucleotides) under Leptobrachium nigrops (black-eyed litter frog). RNAcentral describes it as "partial 16S rRNA". It matches the Rfam family "Bacterial large subunit ribosomal RNA", at positions 384 to 2594 of the family's 2925-position model. Lineage: Eukaryota; Metazoa; Chordata; Amphibia; Anura; Megophryidae. The record is from RNAcentral.
AUGUUUUCUAUCUAGCCUAAUAGCCCAAUAGCCCAACAAUUCUAUUUCUUCCUACAUAUAACCAAUAAAACAUUCACCAUACCUAGUAUAUGAGAUAAAAAUGUACCCUAAGAGCUAUAAUUUAGUACCGUAAGGGAAAGAUGAAAUAAAUGAAACAUUUUAAAACACAUAAAAGCAGAGAUUUCUCCUUAUACCUUUUGCAUCAUGGCCUAACAAGUCUAAUCAGGCAAAACGAAUUUUAGUCUGACUUCCCGAAACUAAGUGAGCUACUCCAGGGCUACUUUGUAAACCCGUCUCUGUUGCAAAAGAGUGGGCAGACCCUCGAGUAGAGGCGAAAAACCUACCGAACUUAGUAAUAGCUGGUUGUUUAGGAAAAGGAUUUAAGUUCUUUCUUAAAAUACCCUUAGCAAUUUACCAAGCAAACCUAAUUUUUAAGAACUAUUCAAUAAGGGUACAGCUUUAUUGAAAAAGGAGACAGCCUAAACCUUAGGAUAAUGAUUAAACGACUCCAGAAAGUAAGGCUUAGUCGGCCUAAAAGCAGCCAUCUCUAAAAGCGUCAAAGCUUCACCUCACCCAUUCCCUAAUCCCAUAAUUCUAUCAAAAUCCAUAUUUACUACUAAACUAUUCUAUAUUAUUAUAGAAGAAUUUAUGUUAGGACUAGUAACAAAGAACAACUUCUCUUAUAUAUAAGUUUAAAUCAGCUUGAAUACCUCCCUGAUAAUUAUUCAACCUUGAACCCGAAGUAACACCACCUAUUUCAAAAACCCUACUAGAAUUAUUGUUAAUCAGACAAAUGAGUAUAAAAGAAAGAUAAAAAGAUCAAGAAGGAAUUCGGCAAACACAAAUCCCGCCUGUUUACCAAAAACAUCGCCUUUUGAAAUAUAUAAAAGGUAACGCCUGCCCAAUGACACAUGUUAAACGGCCGCGGUAUCCUAACCGUGCGAAGGUAGCGUAAUCAUUUGUCUUUUAAAUGAAGACUAGUAUGAAAGGCAUCACGAGGACUUAACUGUCUCCUUAAUUCAAUCAGUGAACCUGAUCCUCCCGUGAAAAAGCGGGAAUAUAAUCAUAAGACGAAAAGACCCUGUGGAGCUUUAAACCCAAACUACUUGAACAACACCUAUUAUUAUUCGUAAUUGACAAGCCUAGCCUAAGUUUUCCGUUGGGGCGACUGUGGAGAAAAACUAACCCUCCAUGAAGAAUAAACUUUGAGUUACCACUCUAGCUAUUAGUAAACCUAACUUUAAUUGAUCCAAUCUUUGAUCAACGGACCAAGUUACCCUAGGGAUAACAGCGCCAUCCAUUUCAAGAGUCCCUAUCGACAAAUGGGUUUACGACCUCGAUGUUGGAUUAGGACAUCCUAGUGGUGUAGCCGCUACUAACGGUUCGUUUGUUCAACGAUUAAAGU